GGAGGUGUAGCGGAAUUGGUAAACGCCAGUCUCAACCUGUUUGCAGGUUCAAGUCCUACCACCUCCC
Molecule: transfer RNA, 67 nt
Filed under: Dolichospermum sp. JUN01
Lineage: Bacteria; Bacillati; Cyanobacteriota; Cyanophyceae; Nostocales; Aphanizomenonaceae
Also listed under: 2 other names
Description: tRNA-OTHER
Rfam family: tRNA
About the family: Transfer RNA (tRNA) molecules are approximately 80 nucleotides in length.
Source: RNAcentral